RNAcentral lists this ribosomal RNA (253 nucleotides) under uncultured bacterium. RNAcentral describes it as "partial 16S ribosomal RNA". It matches the Rfam family "Bacterial small subunit ribosomal RNA", at positions 524 to 776 of the family's 1533-position model. The record is from RNAcentral.
UACGUAGGGUGCGAGCGUUAAUCGGAAUUACUGGGCGUAAAGCGUGCGCAGGCGGCGCGUUAAGACAGGUGUGAAAGCCCCGAGCUUAACUUGGGAAUUGCGCUUGUGACUGGCGUGCUGGAGUGUGGCAGAGGGAGGUGGAAUUCCACGUGUAGCAGUGAAAUGCGUAGAGAUGCGGAGGAACACCGAUGGCGAAGGCAGCCCCCUGGGCUAACACUGACGCUCAGGCACGAAAGCGUGGGGAGCAAACAGG